GAACGCGAAGAACCUUACCUGGCCUUGACAUAGUAGAGACUUUCCAGAGAUGGAUAGGUGCCUUCGGGAAUCUACAUACAGGUGCUGCAUGGCUGUCGUCAGCUCGUGUCGUGAGAUGUUGGGUUAAGUCCCGCAACGAGCGCAACCCUUUUCCUUACUUGCCAGCAUUUCGGAUGGGAACUUUAAGGAUACUGCCAGUGACAAACUGGAGGAAGGCGGGGACGACGUCAAGUCAUCAUGGCCCUUACGGCCAGGGCUACACACGUGCUACAAUGGUCGGUACAAAGGGUUGCUACACAGCGAUGUGAUGUUAAUCUCAAAAAGCCGAUCGUAGUCCGGAUCGCAGUCUGCAACUCGACUGCGUGAAGUCGGAAUCGCUAGUAAUCGCGGAUCAGAAUGCCGCGGUGAAUACGUUCCCGGGUCUUGUACACACC
Molecule: ribosomal RNA, 434 nt
Filed under: uncultured bacterium
Lineage: Bacteria
Description: bacterial SSU rRNA
Rfam family: Bacterial small subunit ribosomal RNA
Source: RNAcentral